Macadamia integrifolia is the source of this 267-nucleotide long non-coding RNA. RefSeq lists it as uncharacterized. The transcript has 2 exons. The record is from RefSeq and is a predicted model, not a curated record. Lineage: Eukaryota; Viridiplantae; Streptophyta; Magnoliopsida; Proteales; Proteaceae.
CAGUGCGCGAAUCGCCUGAGGUGUGCAAAUCGGAUGAUGUGUUGGUGUAAGAGAAGCCAACGAUGGCCGGACUUUCAAGGAAGAGUAGGUUGGCUACAGUGUUCCAUGACAAAUUAUUGAGGUACAAACCCGUUCCAUUCUUCUUGAUCUUGAAUGGGCCUAUCUCCUCCGAAGCUCCAUAACCAAUCGAAGAGCAGCCAGGCCCUGAAUAAAUAAAGGGUGUUUGCCACCAAAAUUCAAAUUUUCAAACCCAUAAUCAUUAAUCAA